RNAcentral lists this ribosomal RNA (484 nucleotides) under uncultured bacterium. Its description in RNAcentral is "partial 16S ribosomal RNA". It matches the Rfam family "Bacterial small subunit ribosomal RNA", at positions 28 to 507 of the family's 1533-position model. The record is from RNAcentral.
AUUGAACGCUGGCGGCAUGCUUUACACAUGCAAGUCGAACGGCAGCGCGGGCUUCUGCCUGGCGGCGAGUGGCGAACGGGUGAGUAAUGCAUCGGAACGUGCCCAGUAGUGGGGGAUAGCCCGGCGAAAGCCGGAUUAAUACCGCAUACGACCUGAGGGUGAAAGCGGGGGACCGAAAGGCCUCGCGCUAUUUGAUCGGCCGAUGUCGGAUUAGCUAGUUGGUGGGGUAAAGGCUUACCAAGGCGACGAUCCGUAGCUGGUCUGAGAGGACGACCAGCCACACUGGGACUGAGACACGGCCCAGACUCCUACGGGAGGCAGCAGUGGGGAAUUUUGGACAAUGGGGGCAACCCUGAUCCAGCCAUGCCGCGUGCGGGAAGAAGGCCUUCGGGUUGUAAACCGCUUUUGUUCGGGAAGAAAUCCUCUGGGCUAAUACCCCGGGGGGAUGACGGUACCGGAAGAAUAAGCACCGGCUAACUACGUG